Molecule: long non-coding RNA, 145 nt
Organism: Zea mays
Lineage: Eukaryota; Viridiplantae; Streptophyta; Magnoliopsida; Poales; Poaceae
Exons: 2
Source: RefSeq, a predicted model, not a curated record
CAGUAACGGUUGAUGAUGAAGAACCUCCUCAAAAGAAGCAGAAGGAAGCACUUUCAGCUGCAAAAAAAGAAAGCAGCAGUGAGGAUGAAGAUGACAGUAGUGAGGAAAGUUCGGAUGAUGAGCCAACAAAAGUUGAAGAAAAAAA